RNAcentral lists this ribosomal RNA (596 nucleotides) under uncultured bacterium. RNAcentral's name for it is "bacterial SSU rRNA". It matches the Rfam family "Bacterial small subunit ribosomal RNA", at positions 9 to 599 of the family's 1533-position model. The record is from RNAcentral.
GAGUUUGAUCCCUGGUUCAGGAUGAACGCUAGCGACAGGCUUAACACAUGCAAGUCGAGGGGCAGCACGGGUAGCAAUACUGGGUGGCGACCGGCGCACGGGUGCGUAACGCGUAUGCAACCUACCUAUAAUAGGGGGAUAGCCUUCUGAAAGGGAGAUUAAGACCGCAUAAUACAACUGACUCGCAUGGAUUGGUUGUAAAAUAUUUAUAGAUUAUAGAUGGGCAUGCGUCUGAUUAGAUAGUUGGAGAGGUAACGGCUCACCAAGUCAACGAUCAGUAGGGGUUCUGAGAGGAAGGUCCCCCACAUUGGAACUGAGACACGGUCCAAACUCCUACGGGAGGCAGCAGUGAGGAAUAUUGGUCAAUGGGCGAGAGCCUGAACCAGCCAAGUCGCGUGAAGGAAGAAGGUCUUAUGGAUUGUAAACUUCUUUUAUAGGGGAAUAAAGAUGAGUACGCGUACUCAGUUGUAGGUACCCUAAGAAUAAGGAUCGGCUAACUCCGUGCCAGCAGCCGCGGUAAUACGGAGGAUCCGAGCGUUAUCCGGAUUUAUUGGGUUUAAAGGGUGCGUAGGCGGGUUGAUAAGUCAGUGGUGAAA